Molecule: long non-coding RNA, 2569 nt
Organism: Oreochromis aureus
Lineage: Eukaryota; Metazoa; Chordata; Actinopteri; Cichliformes; Cichlidae
Source: Ensembl
AUAGGGGCUCUGUAAUCCCAGUAAAAUUUUCAGGUUUGUUCUGCACUGAUAUGAUGACAUGCUCUGCAUUGUGAAGAUACAGAAAGUGCCAAACAUGAUGAAAGAUGUCAUCAAGGACGCGGAUUCCAGAGCUGGUGUGUGUUUUUGUGUGUUAUUAUUAAUCUCUGGCUCUCUUCCACAGCUCGUCUUUGUCCUGUCUUUUUCCGCUCAUCUCCCACCCAUUUGCGGCAGAUGGCCACCCGUCCAUGAGCCUGGUUCUGCAGGACAUUUCUUCAUGUUAAAAGAUUGUUGUCCCCCUUAUACACCAUGGAGGGGUCAUUUUAUAGACCAAAGAGGUAUUCGCCUGAUCAGCACUCUUGCUUGAGAGAAGAGAGUGGAUACUCCGAUGUCAGCAAUAUUGCAAAUCGAUGCAUUUUCCCAUCCGCCUGCUAUGAUGGAUCACUCUGGAAAACCUCAAAUUGACUGGAAAGCUGAUGUAUGUGCUAUAUUAGUAUACUCAUUAUUCUUCAAACCCGAGUUCAGCUUCUCUUUCUGCUUUUGUUUCGAGUUUCAAGAAAUAGGAGCUGACUGCAGCAACUACCAACAUCCUUAACAACUUCUAAAAAUGACACAAAACUUUGACCUACGCAGUCCAACUUCUUCUUUUCUGUUUGCUCAUGCUUUUAUCGGACAUCAGCAAAAGUCACCUAUAGCUAUAGAUUUCUCAGUGCUGGGACGCCGGCCUUUGACCAGUUUUUCUGCUCAGAAUGACAUUUUUAAAUCGUUAUCUGUACAACUGACUGACGGAGGCUUUGGCUUGAAUUCCAGAGUUAAAUCACAGAAAGCAAGACUCCCCUUCUGUCAGGGAAAGCUUAAGCUUAAGCUUAAGCAACGAGACUUUAACUCAUAAUAGUAUUAAAGUUGCAACAGGCACCUCAGCAGGCUGUAUUCUCUAAAGCAUAAUUCAGAAAGGAUGUCUAAUAUUCUUACUAAAUUGUCAUUUUUUUUAAAAGUUUUAGAUACUGUUUAAUUGAUAGUUAUUUUGAAUUUGAGGAUAAAGUUUCAUAUUAUUUUAUUUAUGAAGUGCAUCAGAGUCAGCAUGAGGUUUUUGGGGGUGAAUGAUGGGCUGAAGUGUGGCUCUGCAUCCCGACUCAGUUUGUGAAGAGAUUCAAGUCAUAAAAGUGGGUUUGCUAUUUUAGGCAUGUGCUACACAAAAUAUACACAGUGUAACUGAAAACACUGUGAAACUUUGUUGGUAUCAAACAAGAGCAAAAUCUUACGCUGAUUAAAAUCAGAGUCAGCUCUACUGGCCACAAAUAUGUACACACACAGUGGGCUCUAUUUUGUUAAUUGCACACAAUGUGCUUAACAGACUCGACAACCAGACAACAACAGCAUAACACACAAUAACAUUUAUAACACAUAUACAUAUGUGCAGUGGUGCAGAAUGUGACAAUCUUGGAGUAAUAGGGUGGAUAACUGCUUACUAUAUGCACAGAUAUAGAUAUGUUCAACUUAACAAAAUUGUAUUACUGUUUAGGUAGAAACAGUAACUGAAACCAAGGUCUUUGUGGUUUUGGCAAGUUGUUUUUCAGUUAAUCCUUAGUUCUUGUUUAAUCACACUUCACUCAUAAACUUAUGAUAUUAUAACAUGCUUUCAGAAGAUAAAUUUUUACAUACUUCUAUCUACUUUAUCUGCUUCUAUGCCCAGGGACUCCAGAUGGAAAUUAGAUAGUAGCUAAAUCUGGUGCAAUGCAUCUUUUCUCUUAGGAGAUUAAUGUUUGUUUGUUUUUGUACAUGGUCCCGGACAAAUAAAGUGGAAAUGAAAUGAAACAAACAGUAUCAAAGAGGGAUGUAGACUCUGUGAUAUCACCCACUUGUUUUGAAGUUUUGGCUGCCACCUUGUUGUUUUUUUGUGGAGACAGAAGUUACCAUAUAUGGAUGAAAGGGUGGAGACUUAAGUUGUCAGCUAAUGCUUUUGAGGUUACUCGGCAAGCUGCGUUAAAUAAACUGUAUGCGUGCGUACACACGUAUGUGCGUAUGCACAUAUCUACUGUUUGGUGCUAAGGGACAGAAUAAUAAAAUACUAAAAUGUGACUCUUGAACACACACACACACACACACACACACACACACACACACACACACACACGUAGUGAAAAGAUCUGGUUUAAGUAAUGGACUUGAAGUACUAGAAGUGUGGCCUAAAGGAUUCCAGUUGUGACUCUUGUAAUGAGGGGAAAAGUUAUCCACAGAGACCAAACUGGCUGUUAGACAUGCUUUUAAUUCUGUAAUGCAGUUUUUGGCACUUCACUUCACAUCACCUGUUUUUAAUCUACUACACCCGUUACCCCUGUCUUCACCUACCACUUGUCAAUUUUCUUAUUCUCGCUGGGCAGGUUUUCAGAUGUUUUGCAGUAUUCAUUGUUUGUGUUUCUAGUGAUUUCUCCCCGUGUAUGACUUUUGUCUGCCAUCGGAAAUUUGCCUCUCACCUGUUCCCAGCUUGAUUUGUUUGUCCUAGCCGACUGCCUACUUGUGCAUGACCACGGACUGUUUGAUUAAAGAUUGUUUUCGACUACCUGUGCCACAG